AAAACGGUGUUAACUACCACGUCAUUAAAUCAAAGUCUGAUAAGUUUGAGGCGAAGUGUGCUGUGCAAGACGGCACAUGUUCAUGGAAAAUCUACGCCUCGUUAAGGAAAAUAACAGGGUUGUGGGAGAUAAAAAAGUACAGAGGUCCACAUACAUGUGCUGCAGGUACAGUAUUGACUGUAUCUGAAUAAUACUUUUAUUAUACAAUUAUUAAUUAUUUAGUGUACUCCCUUUGUAGGUGUUUCACAAGAUCAUCCGAAAAUGGAUUCAGC
This 272-nucleotide long non-coding RNA is filed under the name Gossypium barbadense (sea-island cotton). Its description in RNAcentral is "long non-coding RNA (GBAR_LNC014615)". Lineage: Eukaryota; Viridiplantae; Streptophyta; Magnoliopsida; Malvales; Malvaceae. The record is from RNAcentral.